GCGCCCGUAGCUCAGCAGGACAGAGCAACGGUUUCCUAAACCGUGUGUCGGUGGUUCGAGUCCUCCCGGGCGCACCA
RNAcentral lists this transfer RNA (77 nucleotides) under Bacillota bacterium. Its description in RNAcentral is "tRNA-Arg". It matches the Rfam family "tRNA". Rfam says of the family: Transfer RNA (tRNA) molecules are approximately 80 nucleotides in length. Their secondary structure includes four short double-helical elements and three loops (D, anti-codon, and T loops). Further hydrogen bonds mediate the characteristic L-shaped molecular structure. tRNAs have two regions of fundamental functional importance: the anti-codon, which is responsible for specific mRNA codon recognition, and the 3' end, to which the tRNAs corresponding amino acid is attached (by aminoacyl-tRNA synthetases). tRNAs cope with the degeneracy of the genetic code in two manners: having more than one tRNA (with a specific anti-codon) for a particular amino acid; and 'wobble' base-pairing, i.e. permitting non-standard base-pairing at the 3rd anti-codon position. The record is from RNAcentral. Lineage: Bacteria; Bacillati; Bacillota.